AUAUAUACCAAAAGUAGAGGAGGACAUAUUUGCCAAACCGUUGGAGUAAUAUAGGGGAUGAGUAGUGGGUUUUUUUUGUGGAAGCCUGUAGGCACUGACUGUAACACCCCCGUAACCCAGACUAUCUUCAAACCCGAGUUCGGCGUGUCACGGUAAUACCCAUCAUGUAUAUUCUUAAGUAGUGAAUGUAAUUAAUAUAUUAUUACAUCAAAUCACUGCUAAUCCCAGAUUCUAAGACCUUUACAUCUUUAAAUUAUAAUAUUAAUGAAUAUUACAUCAUAGAAAUAUUACAAUUAAAACAACUAUUACAAUACAAUAUGUAAU
RNAcentral lists this long non-coding RNA (324 nucleotides) under Panax ginseng (ginseng). Its description in RNAcentral is "long non-coding RNA (PGIN_LNC002418)". The record is from RNAcentral. Lineage: Eukaryota; Viridiplantae; Streptophyta; Magnoliopsida; Apiales; Araliaceae.